This 443-nucleotide ribosomal RNA is filed under the name uncultured bacterium. RNAcentral describes it as "partial 16S ribosomal RNA". It matches the Rfam family "Bacterial small subunit ribosomal RNA", at positions 338 to 795 of the family's 1533-position model. The record is from RNAcentral.
CCUACGGGUGGCUGCAGUGGGGAAUAUUGGGCAAUGGAGGCAACUCUGACCCAGCAACGCCGCGUGAGUGAUGAAGGUUUUCGGAUUGUAAAGUUCUGUGAUGGGGGAAGAACACAAUGACGUUACCCCAAUAGCAAGCCACGGCUAACUACGUGCCAGCAGCCGCGGUAAUACGUAGGGGGCAAGCGUUAUCCGGAUUGACUGGGCGUAAGGGGUGCGUAGAGGGUGAGGUAAGUUUGAGGUGUAAUUCGGGGGCUCAACCCCGGCACUACUGUCGAAACUGUUAGGCUAGAGUGCAGGAGAGGUAAGUGGAAUUCCUAGUGUAGCGGUGGAAUGCGUAGAUAUUAGGAGGAACAUCAGGGGCGAAGGCGACUUACUGGACUGUAACUGACACUGAGGCACGAAAGCGUGGGGAGCAAACAGGAUUAGAUACCCCGGUAGUC